Non-coding RNA from Cinara cedri, 240 nucleotides. Lineage: Eukaryota; Metazoa; Arthropoda; Insecta; Hemiptera; Aphididae. The record is from the annotation of a GenBank genome assembly.
GGAAUAUUUAACAGUGUGCAGGUUGCCGUUUGAAAAUAAAAACCUAAUAGUUGUUUCACUCCCAAAUAAAAUAAGGGCGGAUAACGGUAACGUAACAUUUUAGAGCUUCAUACUUGUUUUUUUUUUGUAAGUAUUCCGAAAAAAGAAUAUACUUUCCGAGAUAAUUUCUGACGUUAUAUCGAUCACCUUACAUAACAGUUCCGAGUUUGUCGUGGUCUUUAUUUAAAAAAAAAAAAAAAA